Molecule: ribosomal RNA, 195 nt
Filed under: uncultured bacterium
Lineage: Bacteria
Description: partial 16S ribosomal RNA
Rfam family: Bacterial small subunit ribosomal RNA
Source: RNAcentral
CCUACGGGAGGCAGCAGUGGGGAAUUGUUCGCAAUGGGCGCAAGCCUGACGACGCAACGCCGCGUGGGGGAUGAAGGUCCUCGGAUUGUAAACCCCUGUCGAGCGGGACGAAUGGCCCGCGACCUAACACGUCGUGGGAGUGACGGUACCGCUAAAGGAAGCCACGGCUAACUCUGUGCCAGCAGCCGCGGUAAU